This 253-nucleotide ribosomal RNA is filed under the name uncultured bacterium. RNAcentral describes it as "partial 16S ribosomal RNA". It matches the Rfam family "Bacterial small subunit ribosomal RNA", at positions 524 to 776 of the family's 1533-position model. The record is from RNAcentral.
UACGUAGGGGGCAAGCGUUAUCCGGAUUUACCGGGUGUAAAGGGAGCGUAGGUGGCAGGGCAAGUCAGAUGUGAAAACCCGGGGCUCAACUCCGGGAGUGCAUUUGAAACUGUCCAGCUAGAGUGCAGGAGAGGUAAGCGGAAUUCCUAGUGUAGCGGUGAAAUGCAUAGAUAUUAGGAGGAACACCAGUGGCGAAGGCGGCUUACUGGACUGUAACUGACACUGAGGCUCGAAAGCGUGGGGAGCAAACAGG